RNAcentral lists this long non-coding RNA (793 nucleotides) under Manihot esculenta (cassava). RNAcentral describes it as "long non-coding RNA (MESC_LNC012080)". The record is from RNAcentral. Lineage: Eukaryota; Viridiplantae; Streptophyta; Magnoliopsida; Malpighiales; Euphorbiaceae.
AAAAUAAACGACAGUGCCUUUCUUACAACCAAAUAUUAUACUCAUAUAUUUUAAACAAAAUAUAAUAAUUAUUAGUAAUUAUUUAUUUAAAUAUUCAAUUAAAAUAAAACUUGUUUAAUUAGUUUAAUGUCAAGAACAUUAAAAAAGAAACCAUGGGCCGCAAAAUAAACGAUAGUGUCUUUCUUACCCCAAAAUAUUAUACUCAUACAUUAUAAGCAAAAUUGUUAUUCAUUAGUAAUAAUUUAUUCAAAUAUUCAAUUAAAAUAAAAUUUUAAUUGUUUACUUUAAUUAGUUUAAAGUCAAGAACAUUAAAAAAAAAAAAAACGAUGGGGCGCGAAAUAAAUGACAGUGCCUUUCUUACCCCAAAAUAUUAUAAUUAUACUCUAUAAAGAAAAUUUUUAUUUAUUAGUAAUCAUUUAUUCAAAUAUUCAAUUAAAAUAAAACUUUAAUAGUUCACUUUAAUUAGUUUAAAGUGAAGAACAUUAAAAAAAAAAUAAUGAGUCCAAAAUAAAUGACAGUGGCUUACUUACCCUAAAAUAUCAUACUUACAUAUUAUAAACAAAAUUGUUAUAUAUUUGUAAUCAUUUAUUCAAAUAUUUAAUUAAAAAAGUUUAAUUGUUCUCUUUAAUUAUUUCAAAGUCAAGAAAAUAAAAAAAGAAACGAUAGGGGGCAAAAUAAAUGACAGUGCCUUUCUUAUCCCAAAAUAUUAUACUCAUACAUUAUAAGCAAUAUUUUUAUUCAUUAGUAAUUAUUUAUUCAAAUAUUCAAUUAAAAAAAAUUUUAAUUGUUUACU